RNAcentral lists this transfer RNA (65 nucleotides) under Ampelophaga rubiginosa. RNAcentral's name for it is "tRNA-Cys". The record is from RNAcentral. Lineage: Eukaryota; Metazoa; Arthropoda; Insecta; Lepidoptera; Sphingidae.
AGUCUUAUAUUCAAUAAAUGAUAUAAAAUUGCAAAUUUUAAGGGGUAAAUUAUUUACUAAGGCUU